AUGAAUCUCUUAGCCUGGAGCUGUCGUGGCUUGGGGUUGGACUCGACAGUUGGCGAAUUGCGGGACCUGAUACGGUCACACAACCCAGCGGUGGUAUUUCUUAGUGAAACAAAAAAGUCAGCAAAAGCAAUGGAAAGACUGAAAUGGAGUUUGGGUUUCCGAAGUGGAGUAGCGGUGGAUAGCAACGGAAGAAGUGGGGGCUUGCCUUGUGGUGGAGGGAGCAUAUCCAGGUCACGGUGA
Molecule: ribosomal RNA, 240 nt
Filed under: Triticum aestivum (bread wheat)
Lineage: Eukaryota; Viridiplantae; Streptophyta; Magnoliopsida; Poales; Poaceae
Description: partial small subunit ribosomal RNA
Source: RNAcentral